RNAcentral lists this long non-coding RNA (4958 nucleotides) under Zea mays. RNAcentral's name for it is "long non-coding RNA (ZMAY_LNC003512)". The record is from RNAcentral. Lineage: Eukaryota; Viridiplantae; Streptophyta; Magnoliopsida; Poales; Poaceae.
UUACCUUUCAUAACCCUCUCUCUCAUGCACUCACGCCUUUAUGCAGCCAGGCAACACGCCGGCAUCUCAUCUCCCAUAGGCCACGCACACGUUACAUGGAGUUCACCCACUCCGGGCCCAACAGCCUCUGGUUCAACUUACGCUCACGUGUACCUCUCCUUGGCCCAGCUGGCUCCUCUUUCUCCUUUGAACGGCCCACAUUGUCCAGUUUAACUCCCGCGCCUUCAGGUUCAGCAGCUUGUGGCGCCCUGCUGGUAACAUCCCCCCGGCGACGAGAACCUGCUUGCCCCCAAGCAGGUGCAUUGGGAAAUGUUUGCUUCAAUGUCUCCAGAUCUUCCCAAGUUGCCAACGACGAUGACAAUCCUGACCACUUGAUAAGCCCUUGAGCCACACCACUGGUAUUCAUCCGACGUUGUAACACUUGUACAGGGAUUUGUAGACCUUGCAAAGCAACUGGUAAUUCAGCAACCGCGACAGUAGAAGGAAUAGCUUUCUUCAAUUGAGAAACAUGAAAAACGGGAUGUAUAUUAGAGGAAGAAGGCAACUCCAACUUGUAAGCAACAGACCCGACUUUGGACACCACUGGAAAUGGCCCAAAGAACUUAAAUGCCAACUUCUGAUUUGCUCUUGGAGCUAGCGAAGACUGCACAUACGGCUGCAACUUGAGAUACACUGUAUCCCCCACCUCAAACACCCUCUCUGAACGGUUCUUAUCGGCCUGUACCUUCAUACGGUGUUGGGCGCGAGCCAAAUGCUGUUGAACCAAUUCAGUCAUCACUGCCUUCUCCUGGAUCCAAUCGGCCAAAGCAGGAACUGGACAAACUGCCUGAGCAUCGAUUCCAAAGUGUUUUGGCUGAUACCCAUAUAGCACUUCAAAAGGAGAAAAGCCCACAGCAGAGUGCAAGGAACAAUUGUACCAGUACUCAGCCAAGUAUAUCCACUGACACCAUUUAUGAGGACAGGCACUCACAAAGCAACGCAAAAAUGUUUCCAUGCAUUGAUUGACUCUUUCAGUUUGACCAUCCGACUGGGGAUGGUAUGCGCUGCUCAUUUGUAGGGACACCCCAGCAAGAGAAACAGAUGCUUCCAUAGCUGACUAGUGAAAAUACGAUCUCUGUCAGAAACGAUUGCUACAGGCAACCCAUGCAAUCUGUAAAUUUGUUGCAUAAAGACUUGUGCUACUGAAGCUGCUGAAAAAGGAUGUUUCAAGGGCACAAAGUGGCUAUAUUUAGAGAACUUAUCCACAACAACCAGGACACAGUUUUUCCCAGCAGAAAGAGGUAACCCUUCCACAAAAUCCAUACAAAUUGUUUGCCAAGCUCCAGUUGGUAUAGGUAGUGGCUGCAAUAACCCAGGAUAUUUGCUUCGAUCAGGUUUUGCUUGUUGGCAAAUGGAACAAGUGGUCACAAAAUCUUUUACUGUUUUCUUGAGACCAGGCCAGGCGAACAACUGCUUCACUCUGUGAUAAGUCACCGGAAAACCUGAAUGGCCACCAAUAGGUGAACUAUGCAUUGCUGCUAAAACUUGUGCAUGCAACUCAGUGUUGUUACCAAGCCAAAUCUUGCCCUUGUAGCGAAGUAGUCCCUCUCGAAACUCAAAAUUGGGAGCAGCAUCAGGAUCAAGAGUUAGUUUAGCAAUCAAAACUUUAGCUGCUUCAUCCUUCCAAUAUCCCUCACUGACAUCAUGACACCAUGUCGGCUGCAGGACAGACAUAGAAUGGCACAAUAUUUCUUCAUGGGGUCGCCUAGAAAGGGCAUCGGCCACCCGAUUCUGAGUCCCCGGUUUGUACACCACUCUGUAUUGUAAUCCGAGUAGCUUGGUAAAAACUUUCUGCUGCCAGGGUGUGUGUAGCCUUUGGUCAUUCAAGUGUGUCAAACUCUUUUGGUCAGUGAAUAUAACAAACUCAUCAUGGAGUAGAUACGGUCUCCAGUGGUCCACAGCAAUAAGGAUGGCCAAAUACUCCUUUUCAUAAGUUGAUAGACCUUGUGUUUUAGGUCCUAAGGCUUUGCUAAUGAAGGCCAAAGGGUGACCUUGUUGUAACAAGACAGCUCCCACACCAUUUCUACAGGCAUCUGGAGCUCCAGAAAGCCCAAAAGGCAUCACGACAAAUUCAAAGUGCCCACUGUGCGUUUGAAAUGCCGUUUUAAAUUCUUCACCUUGCCUCAACCUCACCUGAUGGUAACCCGAUAUCAAGUCCAAGGUUGAAAACCAACUGGCCCCGGCCAACUCAUCCAUCAGUUGAUCGAACACCGGUAUAGGGAAUUUGCUCUUCACAGUUAAGGCAUUGAGGUAGCGGUAGUCCACACAAAAUCGAUACGUUCCAUCCUUUUUUCGGACUAACAGCACCGGUGAGCUAAAUGAGGAUGAACUAGGCCUGAUGAGUCCUUGCUGCAUCAUAUCACUCACUUGUUUCUCAAUUUCGUCUUUCAAAGAUGGAGGAUAGCGAUAGGGUCUAAUGUUGACCGGCUGAGCUCCUGCUACCAACGGAAUCGAAUGAUCACAUGAUCUAACAGGUGGUAAUUCCACUGGGGCAGAAAAAACCACAGCAAACUUGUGUAACAAGGCUGAUAUUUCAGGCAACAAGGCAGGAGCUGCAGAAGUUAUCACUGGAUGAGACACCUGAGAUAUGUGAAUCAAGACUUCCUCAAACUGUGUAUGGUCUGAUCCCAGCAAGACAACAGGAGAGUUGUGAUAAGUAAUAGAUAGCCAUUUAUGGCGCCAAUGAAUAUGCAUAGGACUAUGAUUCUCCAGCCAAUCCAUACCCAAAAUUAUAUCAUAAGUCUGUAAUUGCAAAACCUUCAACUCUUGUUUAAACAGAUACCCCUGAAUACUCCAUUCUGCGUGAGGUAACAAGGAAGAACACUGCAUGACACCUCCAUUAGCCACUUUAACCUGCACUCGAGUAUCUACCACAGCAGUAGUCUGAAGCUUGUCCAACAAUAAUUGAUUGAUGAAUGAAUGGGUACUGCCUGAAUCAAUAAGGAUAGAGACUUCAAAAUUUUGCAUCGUCCCCAGAAACUGUAGAGUUCCUUUGGCAGCACCACCCACAACAGCUUCAGAUAACCAGACAGAGAACAAUUGUUCCUCCUGAACCGAUCCAACUUCGUCAGGGACUGGUACCUCCUCAAAGGAAAAUAGCUCCCAAACCUCCUGCAUCGCAUGGAGCUGAACUGAAGCUGCACAAGUAUGUCCCCGAUGCCACUUUUCAGCACACUUAUCACAUAACCCCUUAGCACGCCGAUAAGCUCUUAAUGCUUUCAUGCGAUCUUCAACUGAUUUAGAUGGUUGGACAGGACGCUGAUUUUCUUUGCCCAAACUGGGUCGACCCACAGCCAACGGUGAAGGUAAUGGAUGAGGCCCCUUUGGUUCCGACUUGUACCAAGGAGGUGUACUGCACUUGCGGUAAUCCUGGUGACGAACAGAAUCUGUUACCUCUUCCUGCAACAGGGCCAGCGUACACGCUGUGUCCAAAUCACCAGGUCGUUGCAUCAUCACCACAGCACGGACCUCAUCACGCAAUCCAUCCACAAAUCGCGUUGUGAAAUACAACGGAUCAUGCACAGAUUCAUAAGCAGCUAACUGAUCCAUCAAUGUACAAAACCGAUCAAUAUAAUCAGCUACAGACCCCGUUUGCCGGAUGCGAAACAGGUGACGCAAAAGCAUCUGAUGCUGAUUUUUACCAAACCUGUCCAAUAGCAGUUUACAGAAAAAGGACCAAGGAACUUCUACAUAACGAUGUUGUACUGCUUGAAACCAACAAGCCACAGGGGAAGUCAUAUGCAUGGACGCCACCCUCACCCACUCAUCCGGAUCCACAGAAUACAUAUCAAAGUAUGAUUGACAUCGAGAGAUCCACAAACGAGGGUUCUCACCUUCAAACUUCGGGAACGGGAGCUCAGGCAAUUUGCCGAGCGAUCGCAGCCCAGAAUCAGCACCCCUCGGUCGCUGGUGCCCCAUAUCCAUGUAAUCUGUAGGCGAACGAGUGUGCUGUGGUACCUGGGAGAAGGCCAAACGGGGGGAACCCUUGGUUGGAUCUGGCAGGUAAGUGAGCACAGAGCCGAAGCCGUGUUCCUUGAACUUGAACUCCUCCUGAUGGCCCAGCAAACCAUCGGUCUCCGAUCCGCCCAUCUGCUUCACCGGAAUCCCUCCUGGUUUCUGCAGCAAACCCGGUUCGACGGAACCCUCUCUAGAAGUCCGAUCCCAAAGUUUGUUGAACUUACGCAGUUCGAGCUUGACGUCUUCCAUGGCGGCGUCGACCUUGGGACGCCAGGUCGCCAACUCGGCCCCUGCCGAUUCCAACUCGCACAGACGAGUCUCCUUUCCAGCGGCAAUUUCAGAUAACUUGCGCUCCCACUUCAGAUCCAUGGCAGCAAACUUUUUCUCCAUCUCUUCUAGAAUCAACUUGGUAUUCGGAUCCAUUGCACCUUGACGGCGUUGCAACCGAGUGAAAUAGGUAUGAUCAGGAUCCAGCGCGGAUGAUGCCCAGAAUCGGUAGCUCUGAUACCAAAUGUGAGAUCUCCAACCACGACAGCGGGAAUUCCAGGAAGUAGUAGAGAUAGAAGGGAACAGAGGAUAGGCGGCAACGUGAAGAACACGUUGAUCAGAGAGUAGCUAGAGGAAUAUAAUUCUGUUACCUUUCAUAACCCUCUCUCUCAUGCACUCACGCCUUUAUGCAGCCAGGCAACACGCCGGCAUCUCAUCUCCCAUAGGCCACGCACACGUUACAUGGAGUUCACCCACUCCGGGCCCAACAGCCUCUGGUUCAACUUACGCUCACGUGUACCUCUCCUUGGCCCAGCUGGCUCCUCUUUCUCCUUUGAACGGCCCACAUUGUCCAGUUUAACUCCCGCGCCUUCAGGUUCAGCAGCUUGUGGCGCCCUGCUGGUAACACGCCGCCGCGCCGCUGCUAGUACCACCAAGGACGCCGCCGCCCGCGUCGUGCGCCACGGAGUAAUAGU